Molecule: non-coding RNA, 113 nt
Organism: Acanthosepion pharaonis
Lineage: Eukaryota; Metazoa; Mollusca; Cephalopoda; Sepiida; Sepiidae
Source: the annotation of a GenBank genome assembly
UACGGCCACAUAAUGUUGAAACACCAAUUCUCGUUGGAUCACUGAAGUUAAGCAACGUCGAGUCUGGUCAGUACCUUGAGCGAUGACUGCUUGGGAAUAUAAGGAGUUGUAUG